AACGAACGCUGGCGGUAGGCCUAACACAUGCAAGUCGAACGGCAGCACCGUAAGAGCUUGCUCUUACGGGUGGCGAGUGGCGGACCGUUGCGGUAUACAUCGGAAUCCACUUUUUCGUGGGUGAUAACGCAGGGAAACUUCCUCUAAUCCCACAUACGACCUACUGGUGUAAGCACGGGUUCUUCUGACCUUGCGCUAUUGUAUGAGCCUAUGUCGGAUUAGCUAGUUGGCUGGGUAAAGGCACAUCAAGGCGACGAUGCGUAGCUGGUACGACGGCGUGUACAGCCACACUGGAACUGAGACACGGUACACACUCCUGCGGGAGGCAGCGGUGGGGAAUAUUACGCAAUGGGGGAAAGGCGGAUAUAGGACUACCGGGUGGGUGAUGAAGGCGUUCGGGCUGGAAAGCCAUGUUGUUGGGAAAGAAAAGCAGCAGGUUAAUACCCGGCGGUUCUGACGGUACCGAAAGAAUAAGCACCGGCUAACUUCGUG
This 492-nucleotide ribosomal RNA is filed under the name uncultured bacterium. Its description in RNAcentral is "partial 16S ribosomal RNA". It matches the Rfam family "Bacterial small subunit ribosomal RNA", at positions 29 to 507 of the family's 1533-position model. The record is from RNAcentral.